Non-coding RNA from Equus caballus (horse), 8517 nucleotides. Lineage: Eukaryota; Metazoa; Chordata; Mammalia; Perissodactyla; Equidae. The record is from RefSeq and is a predicted model, not a curated record.
UAUUUGACCUGAAUAGAGUUAAAGCUUUUUCCCAAAAAUGCUAACUUAUGGUUCCUAUAGCAACCAUAAUUUACUCUCUUAUAUAACUCCUUGCUUCAUGCCAUGGUUAAUAUAUGCAAUAAAGCUCUAAUUAACUUUCAUCUUUCCUUAGAUUAGUGUGUGGUUUCCAGGAAUAGAAGGUGGAGGAAGGCAGGGAGUAAUGCUGUGUUUGUAGAAUCUGCAGAUUGAGAACAGGAGGAUUGCUAAGCAACAGAAGAAGGAUUUACUUAGCAUUCAGCCAUAAUAUUUUACUAUGUUUUGAAUCACAAAAAAAACCAUUCUAUUAAAAUGCGCAUUUAAAUUCUUGAUGUAUAGUAUGCAUGAAGUCUCUUAGCUCACAUUAUAGAUCUUGAAUUAGAGUCUCAAAGAAUAACUAUGAGAAAAUGUAACUUAUUUGAUUAGAAUACUGUAUUAUGAGUUCAAAUAUAAGUUUGAACUUGUUUUAUUGAGCUUAUUUAUUGAGAUUUUAUUUUAUUUUAAGGAUACAGCCAUCUGCAAACAAUGAAGAAUACGCUUACGUAGUCAAUUAAAUAUUGAGCACAAAGUAAGCGCUGUACCAAGAAUAAGAUACUAUCUUACUUAUAUUGAAUGCUGAUAUAUUUAGUGUGUUUAUCUGUUGACUUUUAGUAUUGAAUUCCUCCACUGGAAGGUGAGUCUGUAAGGCGAGGACUUGUCCUUUUGUCCCCAGUGCCUAGGGAAAGGCCGCAUGACUCAGCAUGACUCAGCACUCAGUACCUACUGAGUGAGUGAAUGAACAGUUAGUCACAAGGGGAAAGGAAGUCAGGCUGACUGGCAAUAGGUCACAAUUACCAGAAAAAUUAGGAUAUUUCAAAGUUCUGUAUCAACUGCAGGCAAAUAUUAUAGAAUGAAAAUCUGUGGCCUGUGCUUUAAUCCAUCAAUCCUAAAAAUUUACAGCUUGGAAUGGCAAUGCUAUUAUGGUGUUAGUGAGACUUACAUUUUCUAUGAAGCUGUCAGAAGCGAAGUUAAAAUUCCAGAACUUUUGGGAAAUUAGCAUACUGUGUAAUUAACCUGUGCCCUGCUCCGCACUGGUUUUCCAAAUGCAGGUAUGCCUUGGUUUAUACGGAAGAUAUAAUUCUGAAAGAGCUGUGUGUAAAAAUUAAAUCAUAUUUAAGAUACAAUUAAGAAACUUAUUAGCUAACAGACCAAUCUUUGAAUCAUUUGAAGGCAGAUAAAUUAUUUUAUAAUAUAAAUAACCACUAGCUAACAAUAUGAAUUUGUAUUAUCUCACACUGUAUUUUUCUUAGAUAAGAUAUUUGUCUCAAAUCACUUUGUCUGUUUAGUUUGAACACCUGGAUUCUGUUUUUCAGAAUGGCACUCCUAUUAAACUUCCUAGUGGCCCCCCUGUCAUAUCUGCCUGGAUUGUUCCUAAUCUAAGCAAUAAUUCCAACUUUUCAGGAAACCUAUAAAAUAGUUUGAGGGAGGACCUGGAAAGAUGCAAACCUAUGUAGAGACAAAUAGAAUUUUCAUAUUACAAUAUUUUAAACAUAAUUUAAUUUAUUUAUCACACUUAAGAUUUUUAAGAAGUUUCUUUGUGAGAGGAGAUAUGCCAUUUAGAAAAAAACAGUAAUAAAAAGGAUAAAUUAUAUUGUGCUUAUCAAAGACUUAGUAGUAAAUGUUUCUAUUUAGAAAAAUAGGCUACAUAUAAAUAUUAUGCAUAUUAUAAGCAUAUAAGUGUAUCUACUUUAUCCUUGUUUCAGACUUGUUAAACUCUUAAGAAAAUCUUGCAACUUAUCUAAUGUAACUCCUUGCUCUCAGCGGACUCCGUAAGCUUUCUGUUAGCUCCACAAGCAGUCAUCCCUGUGCCCCGUGGGGUUUGCUCUGUGGCAGUGGUCCUCAAAGUGGGGUCCCCAGACCAGCAUCAGCCUCACAGUGUUAAAAAUUCGGGCUCCCCUCACACAUCCUCUAUCAGAAACUCCUUGGGUGGGGCUUAGCAAUCUGUGUUGAAUGCACCCUCUGGAGCCCUUUAUCCCUGGUGAAGUUUGAGAAACACUGCCCUGUGGGAUUUAGGAAGGAAAACUGUUUUACGGUUUUAUAGAAAAGAUAAGACAUAUACACAAAUGACAGUAAUAACAGGGUGACAAUAAAAGGGUGACAUUUCCCAUAAAACAGUCAUAGAUAAAGCGUAACUGGAAUUUGUGGGGAGAAGAGAUUACUUUGCUGUGGAGAUGACAUCCCCAAUCGUACACUGGUUCAUCGAGGCGUCUGGGUGCUGGGGCCAAGUAAGACACAGUCUUGACCUCACUGGUCAAGUCCUCCACUUAUCCUCAUAAGUGGGUGGUUCUGCUUGCUAAUUCCCUCACGGCUAGAAGGAACUUUAGACAUCACACAGUCCAACCAUCUCCAAACUUGAGAGUAUCUCAGAGGCAUCUGACUGGCUGCUUAAAACACGUUCUACUGGGCCGAACCCAGAGUUUCUUAUUCAGUAGGUCUAGGGUGGGGCCUGGGAAGUAGCAUUUCUAACACACUCCCGGAUGCUGCUGAGGCUGCUGGUCCAGCUUCUCAAGUGGAGGAUCGCUGAUACAGUCAGCUUUACGAAUGCCCAGAAAUAUGACUCACCCGAAAAAGUUAGCUCAAGGCUGAAAUGGAAAUAAAACCAGUUCCUCAAAUCCCAACUCAGUAUGACCUCCACUGCAGACUGCCUUUGGGACAAGCUGAAAAGAAAAUGCCUGCUGGAUCCUCAAUGAUUCUAGAACAACUGCAGGAGCAAAGAAUUGAUGACCUGGUGAUAUUUCGUCUGGCUCUCGUCUAUAUUGCAUUUUAAUUUCUUAUUCCCAAAUCAGCCACGUUCUCGACAUCUGCAUCCCAGUUGUGAACCGCUGGGCAUUCUAUUUUGUAUAUGGAGAUCUGAUUUGUACAUAAAGGAACAUUUGAAUCGCAUCAUUUUAAAAAAGGCAAUUCUAAAACUUACUAUUUUCUUCCUGAUGAUAGAGUGUUCGCAGGACAAAGGUCUUCUAUUAUAAAAACACCUGUCUCUUGGUUCCUUUCUGUAGAUGACCGACUAUGGAACUAACAAAAAAUUUACCGUGCUCGUUGAGCAUAAGGAAUUAAAAUAUGUGCUGAGAGACAAUCAAUGGAGAUAAUGUGCUGCUGAUAAUUUACUUCUAUUUCAGAAGCGUGUGUGCUUGAUCCAUACGUAAAUCCACGAUUAAGUUCUCUAAUUCUGUAAAUUAGAGAAAAUAUAUUCAUCUCCUUCUGAGUAGUGAUAAAGACAGAUUUCCCGGAAAUUUAAUUAAUCUACUUCGCAUUCUUGAAUGGUCGCGUGAAAAACUCAGACACCUCAGCACAAAUCAUGUAAUUGCAUUUUAAGUGAUAAUAUGGAAAAACUGGGCGUGGAUGAAAAUAAUAUAUUCUGAAUUGUACUGUGACUUCCUCUGAAAAUUUCAAAAUCUAUUUUUAAUUGCCUUCAUUUUAAAUGAAGUCUUGUAAGAAAACUAUUUUCCUUAUCUAAAGGUCAGCACUGAGGAAGGAGUAGAAAUGAGGAAGACCAGCGGCAGCCAGAUGGCAUCUGAGCCUCCGUGGAUGAACCCUCGUGGAUAUUAGAGGGAUGAUUUGCUUAAUCCCAUUGUGAUUAAUGGCCUAUCAAGGGAUGAGAGGGUGUUUAGACACUUAUUUCCUAUAUAUCUAUGCUAAUUUCCUACCACUGAAUCCAUGUCAUUACAUAAAGGAGAGAGGAAAUACCUCUGUCUCCCGGUCUCUCUUCUUCCCUGUAGUUAAUCUCUCCUUUUUCCCAUUUUGUCAAAUAGGGUAUAAAAAAUGUUCAGACUCCAACGCAGUUAAAUCUUAAGCACUUUCACUUGUCACAGCCAUCAUCCAGCCUCCCAAAUUAAAGAACAGCUGUUCAGAUUCUCUGGGGUAGGACAUGAUGAGCCUUAUUUCUUACUUCCUGCAGAGCUUGGUUUGAACUAUUUCUGAUUCUCGAGAACUCUAAGUAAUCACUCACUCUUUAAAAGAAGACAAAAACUCAAUAUUACUUUCUUAAGUAGUUUGGAUGACCAUCUAUUGCUUUCAUCCUGAGGAGAACAACUGGUUUAUUUUGCCCCUAAAGAUAGCAUUCUUAGAAUUCCAUGAAAAAGUUUAUUGAGUGUACCUAUAUUGUGUUGUUAGAAACAGCAUGAAGGCGCUUCUUCCUCUGUGAAAUGAAGCCAAAUAAUUGUGUGAUCUGUUUCUUAAAAUCGAGUUUUAAUGCCUUCAAUAAUCCCACUUGGUAGAAAGCUAUUUUCUAAUGCAAUGGACUCAGUUUCCUGAAAUUAGCUUCUUGGGCUCUAAAAAGAAAAAGGAAAGUGAUAGUUGAGUGGGAGAGAGAGAGUUUAAACAAAGGAUGAAGCAGAUGUCUAUUGGAUUUUUUUCCUCCUAUUUCUCUUUGGGGUGGAGGUUCAGGGGAAAUAUCAGUUUUCAAGCACCUUUCAGCCCCAAUUUCCCAGCGUUUAAGUUUGUAGAGUAACUUCAUCACUGAAUUGACUUAAUUUCAUUGUUGAUAAGACCUACGAAUCAGAUGUUUCUAACACCACUGUACCCAUUGUUUUACCAUUGUGGCUCAAAUUUUAACAUGCAGGCAAAUUACCCUCAUCACCCUCGGAUCUUACUAAAAUGUGGGUGUUGACUGAGUGGGCCUAAGAUUCCAUGAUUCUGACAAGUUCCAUGAUGAUGCUCGUGCUGCUGGCCAUGAACCUCGCUUUGAGCAGCUGGGCUGUGUACCUGCAACACGAAUAAAACCACGCUGAGCUCAGAGCGGCAGAGAGAAAGAUUACCAGUUCUGUUUGGUGGUGUUACUUCCAUUUUCCUGCUGAUCCCUCCAUCCUGCUCAUCGCCAUUUAAAAUCUGACUAACCAGCCACACACCUCCCCAGAAACUUUUCCACCCACUUGUAGAAAUCUUAUUCAAAUAAUCGUGGUUCCAAGUGUGGCUCGACCAUUUCCCCAGAAGGUAUGUCUGCUUUGCAAGUACAAAGCUGGCCCCCGGCCUCACCUGGCUGUGAAGGGGCGAAGGGCAAUGAGGUCUCGUCAACAGUGUUCAGCAAACUGUGGUUGUUUGCCAAGCAUCAGGCACAUCCGUCUGACUGGCUGUUACUCUUGAUUCCCCUGCUGGUUUGUUAGGCUGUCGGUUGGUGUCACCGUCCUCAUGGAAGGAAAAUGAUGUUUGUCCCAAGUCCACUUAGGUAAGAUGCGCGUGUUCUUCUUCUUGUUUAAAGUGGCUUCAUUACCUUUAUUUGUGGGACUUUUUAUUUUUUAGAACUUUUUGCCCCAUAUGAUUAAUGGAGUCACUGUUUGUUUCCAACAAUGAUUUCAGUGCAAUGGAUGUGUCCAAUUGUAAAUGCCACAAGCACAGACUUUUCCUAAAAAUGAAAUUUGGGAUGCCUAACCAUUAUUAACGAAAGUGCUGCCUUAGCCAGAGUCAAAAGACAAAAGUCUCAUUUUUUAUUAAAUACCUUGGGUAGAUGUUUGUAAAUACAACGGAGACUUUUUAUUUUAUCGAAGGAAGGUUUUCAUUUAUUCUUCUGUUGUAUCAAACUGUGGUGCAGUGUUUUAAUUAGAGGGUAGUAUUAGUUAUGUUUUAGGUUUAAAAGAGUACAGGAAGUAGCUGAUAAAAUAUUAAUUUUAAGAACUCAAUCCAUUCGAGCAUUUCAGACUUUUAAAUAAUUGGUGUCAAAGUCAGAUAUUUUCGAAAGAUUUAUGUGCAAAUGGUAGACGUAACCUGAAAUCAAUGAGAUGAAUGUGGUGAUUUCAACUACUGGGAAGGACAAAUAAAUGUAUUUUCUCAGUCUUUGCAUGGGAAUAUUGUUUUUAAUAGCUUUAAAAUACAAGUCUGAAAAAUAUAGGUGUAUUUAACAGAAAUAGUGGGGUUUAGUUUUUGAAAUUGAAUAUACACAGGAAAAUCUUAUUUAAAAAAAUCUGAAAUAUGAUUCGCCACUGAAGGGCUGUAAUACGUCAAUGUAUCAAACGUCGUUAUUUACCCGUAGUAAUUACAUGAUAGACGUUUGAGGAAUGCUUACUGUUUUCUUUACAAAUCAGAGUUUAGUCAAGGUGAGCCAUGCCCAUCUUCACUUGCGUCCUGAGGGACUAUGGAGAGGGAGGGAGAGGAAUGGAGUGAGUGAGAGCAUUCCAGGCAUGGGGCUUGGGACUGUCUACAGUGUGAGCAUCAUCAUUCAGUAGAAAAAAGGCAGAGAGCUGCUCUUGCAGGACGUAUGGCCACCGUGAAAGUUGCUUUUUAUCUUGAAAUGUCCUAUUGUGCAGAAAACAAUGGGAUGUGGGAUAAGUUUUAUAUGGAGAAAAUAAAUGCUUACUUUUUCCUUUUGAUUUAUUUUAGUUACCAAAAAUAGGUUUGAAACAUCCCCAUUUGGCUUCAGAUGAAUGAAAAAUGAACCUUGAAUAAAAGAAAAGCAUCAAAUUGUUAUGUGUUUCUUAGGUGAAAAGCAACAAUGUUCCAGAAGGGUGAAGAUGAUGUUUAAAUGUACUUUAAGCGUGCUGCUGACAGAUAACAGGAAAUAUGAUCCUUAGCUCUGAAAUCCUUCCUUUCAAAUAUCUUUUAGAAUUUGAAAACUUUGGGAGAAUUGUAUUACAGAAAUAGAAAAAAAAAUUACCUGGAGCAAAAGACAAAGAAAUGGGGCUUUUUAUUAUGUGCUUAUGAGAGUAUGUGUCCGUGCAGCCUCUGAAUUAGAUUUCUGGAAAAUGGAAUGUGUGGGAGGGGGUUCUAACAGGAUAGGGACAUCACCUGUUGCUCUCUUUGGGAGAAAUGAAAUGUAAUUCCAGGCUAAUUCAGGGAAUUGAGAGCAUUAUCUUGAGCUGUUUUGCUGCUGGAGUCUUUAUUAGCUUCUCAUUCUCCUAUGGUUUCUCAAAUACCCAGAUUCAGUCAGUGCCACAGGGCACAGUGCAUCUCUGUGACUCCACAGGGGGCGCCCCAGCAGACAGAGACCAGAUCUGGAAAACACGAACCAACCCAGCCACUGACAGGGGGGCUUCAGAAAAGCAGCACACAUUAUUUAAUUACAGAAGAUGAUUUAUUCAUAAGCAUUAGGAAUAUGGAAUGAAUUCAAUUUAUGAAGACUGGCUUCUUACUCGGUGCUGUUAUAUGCAGUACGAUAUAAGGUUAAGUGGCUUAUCCUCAGUGACUUGACCUUUCUCUUUAUUUUGAUUAUCUUAACGAUUUGAUUUCAUUAAAGAAACAUCAAACAAGGCAUUUUAUGGUGAGUAAAUCAGGCCUGGCACUUCAGAAUUCAUCUCUUUGGCUAUUCGUUGCAAAUAGGUUAAACUAUAAAUCAGUAACUCCUAUAGUAUUUAAAUUUUUCUUUCAAAAAUUCUUGAAGCUUUGCUUCAUAUCAAAGUCACUUGUGCUCACAAAUUAUGGAGUUUUAUCAAUACAUUUUAUUUUUGUAGUGGCUGAAGGUAAAGGGUUUAGGAAAAUCUGAUUUAUUAUCUGUAUCUUGUAGUCAUCACUAAAAGCAAGAAAAUGCAUAACAGAUGAUCUUUGUCCUUCAAUGCUGUGGGACAGUGAUGGAGUACCAGGAGAGCAGGUGGUACAACAGUCUGUUUUUGUUUUAAAAUGAUUUCUUCCCCAAUAAUUUAUUUGAGCAUGGCUCCUAAACAGAUUUAUUUAACCCCAGACAAACCCUAUCCUGAAGCUUAUAAGACCUACUUCAAUUCAUUUUUUCUCCAAAUAGUUCCCUUUUUAUGUGAUUUUAAAUAUUAAAAGAAUAAAUGUGGUGGUAAUAUAGGUCUAAAAAAUAUAACCCUUAACAUUUUAUUGAUUACUUGUGUUCUGUUAUUUCCCAUGUCUGCAUUGAUAUAAACAUAGAUUCAGGGACCAAUCCAUCUGCAAAUUGGCACAUGAUAAGACCAAGAUGAAAAAGUUGAUUUAGGGUUUUAUAAAGUAAUGAUGUUAAUUUUUUUAAAAAAACUAAAAUAUUUAUUAAACUAACAAAUUUCUAAAUUGAAUUAGUGUCCCUAGUACCAUCAAGUUUAUAUAUUGCGUUUUCAAGUUUUAUUAAUUUUUAAGUCAUUGCUUUUUAAAUUAGCGUUUAAAAAGUCAUUUAAUACCGUAAUUCUUAUUUAUUUAUUUUUUUUGGCACUUGGCCAAAUCUCCACUGAUAGUUUGCAAAUAAACUUUCUCUUUAAAAAGUGUCAUUGUUUUCUAUGUGGAAUAGAGAAAUAAUUACAGAGGAUUCAUUUCUCUGUGCUGUUCUUCAUUACAGUUGAGCUGUGACUUGGUAUUCUUUAUAUUUAAUUUGAGGAAGACCUCUCUUCACACCGAUUUAAGUAUCAAUAAUUGUGUUUUUCCAGAAUUUUAAUUCAUUGGACUAUGAAUUAUGAUAGAGUUCAUAUAUUUAGGUAUCAAUAAUUUAUGCCAGCUCUAUAGAAAUGUAGUUAGAAAUAAGUGAUGUGGCAUUUUCUGGACUUAAUUGUGUCUCCCAAAAUUGUGUUGAAGUCCUAACUCCAAGGACCUCAGAAUGUGACUGUGUUUGGA